This 468-nucleotide ribosomal RNA is filed under the name uncultured bacterium. Its description in RNAcentral is "partial 16S ribosomal RNA". It matches the Rfam family "Bacterial small subunit ribosomal RNA", at positions 28 to 507 of the family's 1533-position model. The record is from RNAcentral.
GAUGAACGCUGGCGGCGUGCUUAACACAUGCAAGUCGAACGGUGAAGGCGGAGCUUGCUCUGCUGGAUCAGUGGCGAACGGGUGAGUAACACGUGAGCAAUCUGCCCCUGACUCUGGGAUAAGCGCUGGAAACGGCGUCUAAUACUGGAUACGAGCUGCGAAGGCAUCUUCAGCAGCUGGAAAGAACUUCGGUCAGGGAUGAGCUCGCGGCCUAUCAGCUUGUUGGUGAGGUAACGGCUCACCAAGGCGUCGACGGGUAGCCGGCCUGAGAGGGUGACCGGCCAACACGGGAAUGAGGAAAGGCCCAGACUCCUAACGGAGGGAGGAGUGGGGGAUAAUGCACCAUGGGGGGAAGCCUGAUGCAGCAACGCCGGGUGAGGGACGAAGGCCCUCGGGUUGUAAACCUCUUUUAGCAGGGAAGAAGCGAAAGUGACGGUACCUGCAGAAAAAGCGCCGGCUAACUACGUG